NNNNNNNNNNNNNNNNNNNNNNNNNNNNNNGAAGUUUUAUUUAUUAAAAAAAGAAUUUUUAUUUUUAUUAUUUUAAGAAAAAAUUUUGUUUAUUAUAGAUUAAAGUAUUGUGAAAGAUUUAUUUAGAUUAUAAAAAAGAAAAAUUUUAUUUCUGUACCUUGUGUAUCAGGGUUAAUUAAAAUUAAUUUUAUAUUAAAUAUUCUCGAAUUCAAAAGAGUUAAUUAAAAAUAAAUUUUAUUGUGAAAUAAAUAUUUAUAAUUUUUAAUUAGAAAUGAAACGUUAGUCGUUUUUGGAUAUAUCUAGUUUUUAAAGAAAUAAAUUUAAUUUAGUUAUUAGUAAAUUAAAAUUUUAAUUUUUUAAUUUUUUAUUUAUUAAUAGAAAAUAUUUAUAGGGAUAAGCUUAUAAUUAAAUUAUUAUAAUAAAAUAAUAUUUUAAAUAAAUUAUAGAAUUAAAAAUUUUCAUUGAUAAAAAAUUGUUAUAAUUAAUUAUUUAUUAAAUAAGAUUUUUAUUUUAUUUAAUUUUUUUAUUUAAAUAUAAAUUUUAAUUUUAAAAAUUUAGGAAUAAUGAUUAAAUUAGUAUAAUUUUAUGUUUACAAUAAUUUUAAUUUAAGGUUAAAUUAAGGAAUUCGGCAAAUUUAUUUUUCACCUGUUUAUUAAAAACAUGUCCUUUUGAUUAUAAUUUAAGGUCUAAUCUGCCCACUGAGGAUUUGAAUGGCCGCGGUAUUUUGACCGUGCAAAGGUAGCAUAAUAAUUAGUUUCUUAAUUAGAAGCUGGAAUGAAGGAUUGAAUGAGAAAAUAACUGUCUCAAUUUAAAUUAUUUAGAAUUUUAUAUUUAAGUAAAAAAGCUUAAAUUUUAUUAAAAGACGAGAAGACCCUAUAGAGUUUAAUAAAAUUUUUUUUAUUAAAAUUUAUUUUUUAUUUUUUAAUAUUAAAUUUUUUAUUUUGUUGGGGUGAUAGAAAAAUUUAAUUAACUUUUUUUAUAUUUUAACACUAAUAAGUGAUAAUUUGAUCCAAAAUUUUUGAUUAAAAGAUAAAAUUACC
RNAcentral lists this ribosomal RNA (1040 nucleotides) under Metademius cf. leai NLG-2013. RNAcentral describes it as "partial 16S ribosomal RNA". The record is from RNAcentral. Lineage: Eukaryota; Metazoa; Arthropoda; Insecta; Coleoptera; Cleridae.